CAAAAAGUGAUAAGGUACAGUAACUGAGAAACCCAAACAGACACAAACAAGAAGACCAUCCAUCCUGGAUGAUGAUGACGUUGAGAGACAGCUGUGUUUACAGCUUUCUGUUGAGUCUUCCUUCUCUCUCUCUUGCUUCUCUUCUCUGUCGUUUCAUUCUCAAUUCUUGACGAUGCUAUCAUCAGCUCUUUGAACAGCUCCGGUCAAUCAGAUUCAAAUAUUAGUUUAAUUGGAGGAACAGCAAAGUUAUGAUCUUUNNNNNNNNNNUUUUGCUUUUUCUUUUCCCUUUUAUUGGUCAUCUACUUUUCAUUUUAGGGCUUUAUUCUCGUUAUCACUCAUUUCUGGCUAUUGGGUCUUUUUCUUCACUCCCCUUCUCCCUCUAAGCUGCGCUUAGCUCAAGGUAAUGAUUUUCACAUGGCACUAAUGCUGCAAGUCAUGCUGAAUUAGAAAUGGAUUAGUUUCUCUUCAUCUUCAACAAGUACCAUAUAUAUUAACUACAAUGGCUCGCAAAGGUAAUCAACAGAGGAAUGGAGUGGAUCGUCAUGCAUCAAACCACAAGAAAAAGGUUUCAGAUUCAGGGCAUGCAAUUCCUGAUAUGAAAGGAC
Molecule: unclassified non-coding RNA, 605 nt
Filed under: Hevea brasiliensis (rubber tree)
Lineage: Eukaryota; Viridiplantae; Streptophyta; Magnoliopsida; Malpighiales; Euphorbiaceae
Source: RNAcentral